RNAcentral lists this ribosomal RNA (483 nucleotides) under uncultured bacterium. Its description in RNAcentral is "bacterial SSU rRNA". It matches the Rfam family "Bacterial small subunit ribosomal RNA", at positions 28 to 509 of the family's 1533-position model. The record is from RNAcentral.
GACGAACGCUGGCGGCGUGCUUAAUACAUGCAAGUCAACUGAACUUGAGAUAGCAAUAUUUUAAGGGAGGUGGCGCACGGGUGAGUAACACGUAGGUAAUCUGCCUUUAGGACUGACACAACCCCGAGAAAUCGGGGCUAAUAUCAGAUGAUGCAGCGGCUCGACAUCGAGACAGUUGUUAAACCUUCGGGGCCUAGAGAUGAGCCUGCGUCUGAUUAGGUAGUUGGCGGAGUAAAAGCCCACCAAGCCUGCGAUCAGUAGCUGGUCUGAGAGGAUGAUCAGCCACACUGGAACUGAGACACGGUCCAGACUCCUACGGGAGGCAGCAGUAAGGAAUAUUGCUCAAUGGCCGAAAGGCUGAAGCAGCAACGCCGCGUGGAGGACGAAAUACUUUUGUAUGUAAACUCCUGUAAGAAGGGAAAAUAUUCCGAUUUAUCGGGGAUUGAUUGUACCUUCAGAGUAAGCCCCGGCUAACUACGUGCC